This is a long non-coding RNA of Helianthus annuus (common sunflower), 1292 nucleotides long. RefSeq lists it as uncharacterized. Lineage: Eukaryota; Viridiplantae; Streptophyta; Magnoliopsida; Asterales; Asteraceae. The record is from RefSeq and is a predicted model, not a curated record. The transcript has 2 exons.
UAACUCUGCAGUUUUUAGUCUUCUGUUUUCAAACCGCUGGUUUAGUUGGUGGGCUAUUAGCUUACGUAAAUGGACAUCCCUCAUAUCAUAAUUUGCUCCAAGUUAGGUUCAAUUGCAGUGAAACAGAAAGACAUUGUUACUUCCUUCUGUAAGUAUUAGUUUAAUACUGAAUAUUUUCUGAAGUAAAGACAAUGGUUACGAGACGAACCGUGAAAGAUGGUAUCUGUGAUGAGGUUAGGGACAUAAUUAAUUGGUUCCAUUCUCUUGACACAACUUUUCUUCAUAAUAAAGUGCAGCUCGAAGAGCUGAGGCAAAUAUAUGAAGAACUGCCAGAAUAUUUGGAGGAGGUGUUGUCAUUGGAACUUGCACGUCAAAUAGGUAUGUUAUGUUUUUCUUAACCAUGUUUGAUAUUGUCUAGAACUUGAAGGACACGACAAAAACUAAAAUAUAGAGAAGUCACUAUAAAACCCAUGUAGUUUCUUACAAUCCUUUUGGAUUCAAGUGGGUAUAUUACCAACGUAUAUGACUUAACAUCAUGAUCGUUAAAGGCUAGUUUUAAUAGAUAUUAAUCCCCAUUAUCUAUAAAAACACAAAGAGCAAAAGUCACUCACAGUCCCACAUCCGCUGAAUGAAGAACACACAGAUGAAGGGACUACCUAUAUAAACAGAGGCCUAUUAUGAGAUAAAGCAUACCUUUCUCGGCCUUUUGGCUAAGAUCAAGUGUAGUAUCUGUUCUUAUCAGUUUAAUAUCUGAUAUGUGGGUCAUCGGCCCACUUGAUAUUAAUCUUAUUUUUUAUGGGGGAAGACCCAUCACAAUAGCUUGCUAUUGGGGUCUUUGAGUGUCGCCUUGGUCUUGCACUGCCACCUUGGCCUGGCGCACCCCUCCAAACCCUAGUUUAAAGCCUUAUAUGGUAGGCUUGCACUACCACCUUGGCCUGGCGCACCCCUCCAAACCCUAGUUUAAAGCCUUAUAUGGUAGGGAAAGUCAAUAAGUUGUUUUCUAAAAGGUGUUUGGCUUAACUUAUUCAUGUAAAAUGACUUAUUCCCCUUGUAUUAAAUAGUCAUUUACAAAAGUUCUUAGGAGAUUCUAAAUGGAAUCCCAAACAUGGCCUUAGACUACUCUUAUUGUGUAGAAAGUGAAGAUCUCUUCUUCAUGCUUUUAUCGGUUAAUAUUUCCAAAUUGGAUAUUGGAUAUGCAUUUUGAAUUAGAGCUAGAUGAAUGUAUUUUAGAGGAACUUCAAGACUGUAAAUUUGCUGUAAGCUGGUUACUUUAAGCAUGUCUUGUUUGCGAA